Molecule: ribosomal RNA, 497 nt
Filed under: uncultured bacterium
Lineage: Bacteria
Description: partial 16S ribosomal RNA
Rfam family: Bacterial small subunit ribosomal RNA
Source: RNAcentral
GAUGAACGCUGGCGGCGUGCCUAAUACAUGCAAGUCGAGCGAACGGACGAGAAGCUUGCUUCUCUGAUGUUAGCGGCGGACGGGUGAGUAACACGUGGAUAACCUACCUAUAAGACUGGGAUAACUUCGGGAAACCGGAGCUAAUACCGGAUAAUAUUUUGAACCGCAUGGUUCAAAAGUGAAAGACGGUCUUGCUGUCACUUAUAGAUGGAUCCGCGCUGCAUUAGCUAGUUGGUAAGGUAACGGCUUACCAAGGCAACGAUGCAUAGCCGACCUGAGAGAGUGAUCGGCCACACUGGAACUGAGACACGGUCCAGGCUCCUACGGGAGGCAGCAGUAGGGAAUCUUCCGCAAUGGGCGAAAGCCUGACGGAGCAACGCCGCGUGAGUGAUGAAGGUCUUCGGAUCGUAAAACUCUGUUAUUAGGGAAGAACAUAUGUGUAAGUAACUGUGCACAUCUUGACGGUACCUAAUCAGAAAGCCACGGCUAACUACGUG